UGUAUUUACAAUAGAAAAAGUAUGUUUAAGAACAAGACAAUACUUCUGUAAUUUAGUAUACAAAAUUUAAAAAUCAGAGAGCUACAAGAAUUAUUUUAAAUUUAUUUAGGAAUAUCUAUGUACUGCCUAAUAUAGGCAUAUAUAAACAUCUAAUAUAUUAUAGAAUCUAUAUUUAUAUUGCAUAGCUAGCUAGCUUUUCUGCCAGUGCACUCCUUAGGGACUGGGCUGCCUACAUUGAGCCGCACUGUUGCUGCAGCCACACACUGCCACUCCCACUGCCACGCCCACCGCCACCCACAGGCGCACAAAGAGCCAGCUACUAAACUCGCCUUUAUUUCUGUGCGCUCUACCCUGGCCACCCUGUACUUGACUUGUCAAACACAAAAAGGAAAACUGCCGAGGAAGCGGGGGGUGGGGAGUGGGGAGUGGGAAAGGGUGUGGGAAAGUCCGGACCUUUUUAUUCUGGGUCGCAAAUGAACGCUGCAUGUGCUUUCCACGCUCCUGCGAACAACGAAAUGCGAAAUAUGUGGAAUGUGGCGGUACGAGGGGAAUCGCUUUGUUUUAGCAAAGAGGCCGCUUCGCAUUGCCACAUAAUCAAUAAGGAACAGAUUUUCAAGUUUGGAACUGCAUUGUUGUCAGCCGAAAACUUGAUUAGCCACAAAGCCACCAGCUCAGAGCUAAAGUUGAAAAGCAGCGUAUUUGCACUUCCCGCCUUCAACGAGGUGGUCCAGAGUUCGGCGCUGCCCGGUGCCAAGUGUUUGCCCUGAGUUUCCGAGCAAGUGGAGGGCGUCUGGAGCACUGGGCACUCCAAGCUAGUGGGCUUCCAGUGAGCUGGCAGUGCUACUGUUGUCUAGCUGGGUUGGAUGUGAUAAGCAACGAGCGGAAAACAAUCGCCAGUCAGCGGGACAAAUUCGCUUAAAAGUUUACAGCUCAGCGGCGCAAAGCUGCUGGCACAACACGGCGUAUACGCAACAUCGGACUUUCAGCCAUUUUAGCCGCAUCAGCACUUUCCAUCACUUUCCAUCGCUUUCGGUGGCUGCCCAAUGGAACGUGACAGUUUGGCCAUUUUUCAAGUUCAGCGACACUGCGGGCGAAUCUCAUUUUUUGCGAUUAUUGCAGAAAACGCAAUUUUAACGGACAUCGGUCACAAUAACUGCUGAACAUUAUUCAAGCCGAAAAAAACGGCGCACAACUUUCCGUUGGUCGUGCAAUUUUUCAAGUAUUUUUCAAAUAUUUGCUCGAACGAUUAGUUUCGGGGGCGUGAAACGAUCUGCCAAUUAUGGUGAACAUUCUUUUGAAGAUUGUUUGCCUUUCAUUAAGACUGCAACACUUGCACUUCACUUGCCAGUUUCCAGUUGCCAGUUGCUAGACCAAACUAGAACUAAAACCAGAAGCAAAACCAGAAACAGAACCAGAACCAACUUACUAAUUUGUCUGUGGCAUAUGCUUUGUUUUGCCUAUUUGCAGUCAUUAUUUGUAAUCAUUUCUCGGCAGACAAGCUGCCGGCAAUUGAUUUCUGCCCGCCUGGCUGUUUGUUUAAUAGCUUUCGAUGCAUCCACUCGGGAGAAUGGGAUGCAUCUUGGUUUCCUGCGCUACUGGAGCACGCUAUUGACUGGGCUGAUGAAGUGUUCUGCCAGUGCACUGGGAGAAAGAAGUACUUACAACUUGAUAGCGCUUCUUCAAGUAAUGUAAUGAAACUAGAUAUGCCGCAGAAAUCGAUGAACACACUGCCACUAAGCACACUUUUAGGCGGCGCACCCAAGGAUUCACAAGGAUUCCUUUCACUUUCUGUGCUCGCUGGAAUGCGGAUGCGCUAUUCUUGGCGUACAAAUAUUUCUGUGCCCGUACCUUUUCCAUUUCCAUUUCGAGAAUAAACACAAGUGAAUUUUUUCCAUUCCUGCUGGCUCAGUAGUAGCAAAAGUAUGAAAGCUAGCAGAGUAAUAAAAACGCCUCUAAGGAGCGAAAAAGUUGCUACUCG
Drosophila teissieri is the source of this 1978-nucleotide long non-coding RNA. RefSeq lists it as uncharacterized. The transcript is spliced from 2 exons. The record is from RefSeq and is a predicted model, not a curated record. Lineage: Eukaryota; Metazoa; Arthropoda; Insecta; Diptera; Drosophilidae.